GACGAACGCUGGCGGCGUGCCUAAUACAUGCAAGUCGAACGAAGCUGUUUUAACUGGUGCUUGCACCGACUUAAACAACUGAGUGGCGAACGGGUGAGUAACACGUGGGUAACCUGCCCCAAAGCGGGGGAUAACAUUUGGAAACAGAUGCUAAUACCGCAUAACCACAGAAACCACAUGGUUUCUGUGUCAAAGAUGGUUUCGGCUAUCACUUUGGGAUGGACCCGCGGCGUAUUAGCUAGUUGGUAAGGUAAUGGCUUACCAAGGCAAUGAUACGUAGCCGAACUGAUAGGUUGAGCGGCCACAUUGGGACUGAGACACGGCCCAAACUCCUACGGGAGGCAGCAGUAGGGAAUCUUCCACAAUGGACGAAAGUCUGAUGGAGCAACGCCGCGUGAGUGAAGAAGGUUUUCGGAUCGUAAAACUCCGUUGUCAGAGAAGAACGUGUGCGAGAGUAACUGUUCGUGCAGUGACGGUAUCUGGCCAGAAAGCCACGGCUAACUACGUGCCAGCCGCCGCAGUAA
RNAcentral lists this ribosomal RNA (524 nucleotides) under uncultured bacterium. RNAcentral describes it as "partial 16S ribosomal RNA". It matches the Rfam family "Bacterial small subunit ribosomal RNA", at positions 28 to 523 of the family's 1533-position model. The record is from RNAcentral.